UACGUAGGGUGCAAGCGUUGUCCGGAAUUAUUGGGCGUAAAGAGCUCGUAGGCGGUUUGUCGCGUCUGCUGUGAAAACGCGGGGCUCAACUCCGCGCCUGCAGUGGGUACGGGCAGACUAGAGUGCAGUAGGGGAGACUGGAAUUCCUGGUGUAGUGGUGGAAUGCGCAGAUAUCAGGAGGAACACCGGUGGCGAAGGCGGGUCUCUGGGCUGUAACUGACGCUGAGGAGCGAAAGCGUGGGUAGCGAACAGG
Molecule: ribosomal RNA, 253 nt
Filed under: uncultured bacterium
Lineage: Bacteria
Description: partial 16S ribosomal RNA
Rfam family: Bacterial small subunit ribosomal RNA
Source: RNAcentral